This 326-nucleotide long non-coding RNA is filed under the name Arabidopsis thaliana (thale cress). Its description in RNAcentral is "long non-coding RNA (ATHA_LNC000710)". The record is from RNAcentral. Lineage: Eukaryota; Viridiplantae; Streptophyta; Magnoliopsida; Brassicales; Brassicaceae.
GAUUCUCUCUCCAAUAUAUGUAGUGAGAACAGAACCAAGCGUUAACAACGUAACAGAAGAAACAACCCAUUCCGUGCUGAAGUCAUUAACGUAAGGACGAAGGUAAAACACUUGUCCGAUUGCUUGUACUAUCGCAAAACCAACUGAAGCAUAUCUAGUAUACUGAAGAAUCUUUUUUCUACCAGCUUCACCUUCUUUUUUCUGAAGAUCUUGCAACUUUGGAUAGACUUGAGCAAGAAGCUGAAACACAAUCUGAGCGUUGAUGAAAGGAACAAUCCCGAGAGAACAUAUACCAAGUCUACCUAUGCCUCCACCAGAAAAUGUAU